Molecule: ribosomal RNA, 427 nt
Filed under: uncultured Luteimonas sp.
Lineage: Bacteria; Pseudomonadati; Pseudomonadota; Gammaproteobacteria; Lysobacterales; Lysobacteraceae
Description: bacterial SSU rRNA
Rfam family: Bacterial small subunit ribosomal RNA
Source: RNAcentral
UGGGGAAUAUUGGACAAUGGGCGCAAGCCUGAUCCAGCCAUGCCGCGUGAGUGAAGAAGGCCCUCGGGUUGUAAAGCUCUUUUGUCCGGAAAGAAAAGCUUUCGGUUAAUACCCGGAAGUCAUGACGGUACCGGAAGAAUAAGCACCGGCUAACUUCGUGCCAGCAGCCGCGGUAAUACGAAGGGUGCAAGCGUUACUCGGAAUUACUGGGCGUAAAGCGUGCGUAGGUGGUUCGUUAAGUCUGAUGUGAAAGCCCUGGGCUCAACCUGGGAAUUGCAUUGGAUACUGGCGGGCUAGAGUGCGGUAGAGGAUGGCGGAAUUCCCGGUGUAGCAGUGAAAUGCGUAGAGAUCGGGAGGAACAUCCGUGGCGAAGGCGGCCAUCUGGACCAGCACUGACACUGAGGCACGAAAGCGUGGGGAGCAAACA